UACGGGGGGAGCAAGCGUUGUUCGGAUUUACUGGGCGUAAAGGGCGCGUAGGCGGCCACCGCAAGUCGACUGUGAAAUCUCCGGGCUUAACCCGGAAAGGUCAGCCGAUACUGCGGGGCUAGAGUGCAGAAGGGGCAACUGGAAUUCUCGGUGUAGCGGUGAAAUGCGUAGAUAUCGAGAGGAACACCUGCGGCGAAGGCGGGUUGCUGGGCUGACACUGACGCUGAGGCGCGAAAGCCGGGGGAGCAAACAGG
This 254-nucleotide ribosomal RNA is filed under the name uncultured bacterium. RNAcentral describes it as "partial 16S ribosomal RNA". It matches the Rfam family "Bacterial small subunit ribosomal RNA", at positions 524 to 776 of the family's 1533-position model. The record is from RNAcentral.